Molecule: ribosomal RNA, 383 nt
Filed under: Campylobacter gracilis
Lineage: Bacteria; Pseudomonadati; Campylobacterota; Epsilonproteobacteria; Campylobacterales; Campylobacteraceae
Description: bacterial SSU rRNA
Rfam family: Bacterial small subunit ribosomal RNA
Source: RNAcentral
AGUGAACGCUGGCGGCGUGCCUAAUACAUGCAAGUCGAACGGAAUUUAAAAGAGCUUGCUCUUUUAAAUUUAGUGGCGCACGGGUGAGUAAUAUAUAGCUAAUCUGCCCCUUGCUGGAGGACAACAGUUAGAAAUGACUGCUAAUACUCCAUACUCCUUUUUACCAUAAGAUAAAUCGGGAAAGAAUUUCGGCAAGGGAUGAGACUAUAUCGUAUCAGCUAGUCGGUGGGGUAACGGCCUACCGAGGCUAUGACGCGUAACUGGUCUGAGAGGAUGAUCAGUCACAUUGGAACUGAGACACGGUCCAAACUCCUACGGGAGGCAGCAGUAGGGAAUAUUGCGCAAUGGGGGAAAACCCCGACGCAGCAAACGCCCGCGGGGAG